Brienomyrus brachyistius is the source of this 1272-nucleotide long non-coding RNA. RefSeq lists it as uncharacterized. The transcript is spliced from 3 exons. NCBI's taxonomy places the organism in Eukaryota, Metazoa, Chordata, Actinopteri, Osteoglossiformes, Mormyridae. The record is from RefSeq and is a predicted model, not a curated record.
CAGCAGAUGGAGGAGGGGCUGCAGUGGACAUGGAAACUGGGAGACAGCAGAUGGAGGAGGGGCUGCAGUGGAGGCUGUGAAGGUGCCGAGCUUAAACUGGCCACACUGGCCGACAUCCAUCAAAGGGGUUCAAGGGAGAAUCUUCAUUGGAAAUCAGUGAGCAGAUCGUCUCUGGCCUGGAAGGGUGAAGCUGCAAAUGGGUUCUGUCGAGCAGCAUGGCGCUGUACAGCAAGGGCAAAAGGAAAAGACAGGAAGCUGGUUUCUACUCCACUACUGACAGUUCCUGUGCCCCGGGGGGAGCUGCUGGACGGGACGAGCGCGGACACGCCUCCGAGGAGGAGCAGGAGGAGCUCUGCAGUCCGAGAUGAUCAUUCUACUAUAAUGCUGAGAACUGCCGGAGCCCACAAGCGGCCCGCAUUAAAAACUCCCCGUUCUGGGGCAAUCCGACGGACCGCUUGCCGCGUCCAGUAAGACACAGCAACGGAACAAAUGGCUAUUGACGGCCACCUGCUUUCAAUAAAAGUCUGAAGGCCGUCCAGUAGGGCAGAAGUUGAUCACGAGCCUUUCACAAUACAUCCCAGUAAACCUUUUAAGAAAACUUUUCAAGGAUGUUGUUAUAUAAAUGGAGCCUGAAUGUUCUCCCACAGUUUGGACUGGGUUCUCCAGGGUACUUUCCACCCAUGCACAGUCUGAGAACACGCAGUAAAAUAAACCGGCGACUCCACAUCGCCGAUAGUGAUGUACCAGCAUCCUUUUCAGGGUGUCCCCUGCCUCGUGCCCUUUCAAACUCAGCGCUGGCUCCAGGCUAACCACAACCUUGUACUGGGAAAGCAAUUACACAAAAUAGAUGUACAGGAGAUUCACAAAUGGCACAAUAUCAAUACAUUUUACCAAAAUGCUCACGCGUCAGACUAUAGCUUUGACCUUGAUUCUGUGUCCCCCUGGUUGUUCAGUAUUUCUGCAUUCACCCCUUUUCCUCCUCUUGGUCUCAGUUGUAUUUCAUCAUCUAUCCUGGAAUUUCACUGCUCAGAUCUGUACUGAUCUCAGUUCACAUUUUCAAAGGCUUAAAUUCUGCAGCAGCCCCUGCUCCCAAAAGCGCAGAGUGCGACUUUGCUGUACAAAUCCAUUUGUGCCUGGAGAAUCGUGGGCGAGUGCUAACCAAAGCCGCUGCCAUUUGUACAUUAAACAGUGGCGGAUGUCAAACACUGUACAGCUGUGCCAAUAUGGGUAAAUAACAGAAUGAGUCAUUUAAAGGGAAAAAAAUCCUGCAUA